This 347-nucleotide ribosomal RNA is filed under the name uncultured bacterium. RNAcentral's name for it is "bacterial SSU rRNA". It matches the Rfam family "Bacterial small subunit ribosomal RNA", at positions 9 to 349 of the family's 1533-position model. The record is from RNAcentral.
GUAGUUUGAUCCUGGCUCAGGAUGAACGCUAGCUACAGGCUUAACACAUGCAAGUCGAGGGGAAACGACAUCGAAAGCUUGCUUUUGAUGGGCGUCGACCGGCGCACGGGUGAGUAACGCGUAUCCAACCUGCCCACCACUUGGGGAUAACCUUGCGAAAGUAAGACUAAUACCCAAUGACGUCUCUAGAAGACAUCUGAAAGAGAUUAAAGAUUUAUCGGUGAUGGAUGGGGAUGCGUCUGAUUAGCUUGUUGGCGGGGUAACGCCACAAGGCGAUGAUCAGUAGGGUUCUGAGAGGAACGUCCCCANAUUGGAACUGAGACACGGUCCAAACUCCUACGGGAGCA